This 73-nucleotide transfer RNA is filed under the name Nocardioides psychrotolerans. Its description in RNAcentral is "Nocardioides sp. CGMCC 1.11156 tRNA". It matches the Rfam family "tRNA". Rfam says of the family: Transfer RNA (tRNA) molecules are approximately 80 nucleotides in length. Their secondary structure includes four short double-helical elements and three loops (D, anti-codon, and T loops). Lineage: Bacteria; Bacillati; Actinomycetota; Actinomycetes; Propionibacteriales; Nocardioidaceae. RNAcentral also lists the same sequence under 2 other names. The record is from Rfam by way of RNAcentral.
GCCGCGUUAGCUCAGAUGGCAGAGCAUCGCUCUUGUAAAGCGAAUGUCGAGAGUUCGAUUCUCUCACGCGGCU